UUCCGUAGGUGAACCUGCGGAAGGAUCAUUAUCGAGUUUUGAAACGGGUUGUAGCUGGCCUUCCGAGGCAUGUGCACGCCCUGCUCAUCCACUCUACCCCUGUGCACUUACUGUAGGCUUCAGGAGCUUGCUCGGGCUUUCAUUAGUUCGGGUUUGUAACUGGGUCUACGUUUACUACAAACACUAUAAAGUAUCAGAAUGUGUAUUGCGAUGUAACGCAUCUAUAUACAACUUUCAGCAACGGAUCUCUUGGCUCUCGCAUCGAUGAAGAACGCAGCGAAAUGCGAUAAGUAAUGUGAAUUGCAGAAUUCAGUGAAUCAUCGAAUCUUUGAACGCACCUUGCGCUCCUUGGUAUUCCGAGGAGCAUGCCUGUUUGAGUGUCAUGAAAUUCUCAACCUAACAAGCUUGUAACGAGCUUGCUUAGGCUUGGACUUGGAGGCUUGCCGGCUGCUCGCAGUCGACUCCUCUUAAAUGCAUUAGCUUGGUUCCUCUGCGGAUCGGCUCACGGUGUGAUAAUUGUCUACGCCGCGACCGUUGAAGCGUUUUAUAGGCCAGCUUCUAAUCGUCUUCUUGCGAGACAAUUACUUCGAACUCUGACCUCAAAUCAGGCAGGACUACCCGCUGAACUUAAGCAUAUCAAUAAGCGGAGGAANGNAGNAGCAAACUAANCANGGAUNCCCCUAGUAACUGC
Molecule: ribosomal RNA, 691 nt
Filed under: Polyporus sp. BAB-5027
Lineage: Eukaryota; Fungi; Basidiomycota; Agaricomycetes; Polyporales; Polyporaceae
Description: eukaryotic LSU rRNA
Rfam family: 5.8S ribosomal RNA (bases 230-383)
Source: RNAcentral